This 298-nucleotide ribosomal RNA is filed under the name uncultured bacterium. Its description in RNAcentral is "partial 16S ribosomal RNA". It matches the Rfam family "Bacterial small subunit ribosomal RNA", at positions 336 to 652 of the family's 1533-position model. The record is from RNAcentral.
UUCCUACGGGGGGAGCAGUGGGGAAUAUUGCACAAUGGGGGGAACCCUGAUGCAGCAACGCCGCGUGAGUGAAGAAGUACCUCGGUAUGUAAAGCUCUAUCAGCAGGGAAGAAAAUGACGGUACCUGACUAAGAAGCACCGGCUAAAUACGUGCCAGCAGCCGCGGUAAUACGUAUGGUGCAAGCGUUAUCCGGAUUUACUGGGUGUAAAGGGAGCGCAGGCGGCGCGGCAAGUCAGAUGUGAAAGCCCGGGGCUCAACCCCGGGACUGCAUUUGAAACUGCCGGGCUAGAGUAUCGG